CGCUCUUUGAUUUAACAGUAUAAAGAGUCGAGCCUGCCCAGUGACACAUGUUUAACGGCCGCGGUACUCUGACCGUGCAAAGGUAGCAUAAUCAUUUGCCUUAUAACUGAAGGCUAGUAUGAAUGGUUUGACGAAAGCAAAGCUGUCUCCUUUUAAUUUUAUAGAACUUGAUUUUUAGGUGAAGAAGCCUAAAUGAAAUUGAAAGACAAGAAGACCCUAUCGAGCUUUAAAAAAUUUUAGUAAGACAAAGUAGCUAUAAAAACUAACUAUAGUGAAAUAUUUUAGUUGGGGCGACUAAGGAACAAAAAAGCUUCCAGUUUCAAUAUUAUACAUAUAAGUCUUGAUCCAAAAUUCUUGAUUAAAAAAAUUAGUUACCGUAGGGAUAACAGCAUAAUCUUUUUUAAGAGUUCUUAUCGAAAAAAAGGUUUGUGACCUCGAUGUUGGACUAGAAUAUCCUAAAUGGUGCAGAAGCCUUUAAGGGUUGGUCUGUUCGACCACUAAUAUUCUACGUGAUCUGAGUUCAGACCGG
This 529-nucleotide ribosomal RNA is filed under the name Kanakyella gentilsiana. RNAcentral describes it as "partial 16S ribosomal RNA". It matches the Rfam family "Bacterial large subunit ribosomal RNA", at positions 1817 to 2619 of the family's 2925-position model. Lineage: Eukaryota; Metazoa; Mollusca; Gastropoda; Littorinimorpha; Tateidae. The record is from RNAcentral.